This 246-nucleotide long non-coding RNA is filed under the name Elaeis guineensis (African oil palm). Its description in RNAcentral is "long non-coding RNA (EGUI_LNC044533)". The record is from RNAcentral. Lineage: Eukaryota; Viridiplantae; Streptophyta; Magnoliopsida; Arecales; Arecaceae.
GGGCUAAUUUAGAACCAAUUUGAGCCAAAUUGGAUUUGGUCUUGAAGUGGAUUCGAAGUAUUUUAAUUGGGCUUGCUGUUGGGUGCCAAAAAAUAGGGAACCACAUGCCUAAGAGUCUCUCUCUUGGCAUGUGGAUUUGAAUCCACGCGCAUGAGCCACAUGGCGCAUGGAUGGAGUUGGCGCCACCUUUAGAUAAGGUCUUUCCUAUUUUUUCUCCAUAACUUUUAUUCUAUGAAUGAUUUUUAG